CAGUAAGGAAUAUUGCGCAAUGGGCGAAAGCCUGACGCAGCGACGCCGCGUGGGGGAUGAAGGUCUUCGGAUUGUAAACCCCUUUCGGGAGGGAAGAUGGAGCGAGCAAUCGUUCGGACGGUACCUCCAGAAGCAGCCACGGCCAACUUCGUGCCAGCAGCCGCGGUAAUACGAAGGUGGCAAGCGUUGUUCGGAUUCACUGGGCGUACAGGGUGUGUAGGCGGUUUGGUAAGCCUUCUGUUAAAGCUUCGGGCCCAACCCGGAAAGCGCAGAGGGUACUGCCAGGCUAGAGGGUGGGAGAGGAGCGCGGAAUUCCCGGUGUAGCGGUGAAAUGCGUAGAGAUCGGGAGGAAGGCCGGUGGCGAAGGCGGCGCUCUGGAACAUACCUGACGCUGAGACACGAAAGCGUGGGGAGCAAACAGGAUUAGAUACCCUGGUAGUCCACGCCCUAAACUAUGGAUACUAAGUGUCGGCGGGUUACCGCCGGUGCCGCAGCUAACGCAUUAAG
This 507-nucleotide ribosomal RNA is filed under the name uncultured bacterium. RNAcentral's name for it is "bacterial SSU rRNA". It matches the Rfam family "Bacterial small subunit ribosomal RNA", at positions 352 to 864 of the family's 1533-position model. The record is from RNAcentral.